Toxorhynchites rutilus septentrionalis is the source of this 839-nucleotide long non-coding RNA. RefSeq lists it as uncharacterized. The record is from RefSeq and is a predicted model, not a curated record. NCBI's taxonomy places the organism in Eukaryota, Metazoa, Arthropoda, Insecta, Diptera, Culicidae. The transcript has 3 exons.
GCGCAUGUGUUACACACAUGAAGAAGUUAGUAAUAAACAAUCCUCAGUUUGUACGACGUUCGGAAGUUUUUUUAAUAUUUCUUGUUCAAAAAAACGUAAAAAGUGACAAAAUCGUAAAUCGAGCCGACGAUAAUCACGAUAGUGUAUCGCAUUUUCACUGCAGCAAUAUGUCGAAGUGUCACGUCCCGCGAUGCCGGAGCAGAAAAAAAUUGAAGAAAGUUCGAUAACUUUCCACCGUUUUCCGACCAACAAAUUGUUGAGACAGAAAUGGUUAAACUUUUUCGGAUACAAAAGCUCGUUCGAUACGUGAAACAUAUUUGUUUGUUCGCUUCAUUUUUCGCCGGGUUCUCUUGGGGAUACUGUUUCAACCUAUAAUCAGCAAAGAAGACGUCUUCGUACUGGAGCUGCUCCAUGCAUUCGCUUCUUGGAUCUUCCAAAACGUUCCGUUUCAAUGGUUUCACAUAAAAUUUCAAAUUUAUACAUUCACUUCUUGCGAAAGUGCAAAAUAUUUGUUUGCAAUCACUUCGGAAGAUGACCCGGGAUGGAGGAAAUGUUUUUCUCGUUUUCCAGAUACGCCAAUUUGGUCUCUUAAGUGCCUUCACUACGGCUGAACACUCCAAACCGAAACCAAUGGAGGCGUCGUGAUGAUUCUUGAUGGAUGAUUCAAUAAAAGAGAAAAAAAAAUCAGCAGUGUGGGAGUUAAUCUUUCAUCAUAUUAUCAAUUUGCGGGAACGACACUGCUUCGAUAUAACCUCUCCACACAUUUGUUCAUCGUUUUUUGUGUUAUUUUUAUAAUACAGAUGCAAUAAUUUCACUGUUUUCAAUUUUAAAAUUAUUAA